UACGUAGGGGGCAAGCGUUGUCCGGAAUCAUUGGGCGUAAAGCGCGUGUAGGCGGUCCGAUAAGUUCGCUGUGGAAAGUCGGGGGCUUAACCCUCGGAUGCCGGUGAAUACUGUCGGGCUUGAGUACGGAAGAGGCGAGUGGAAUUCCUGGUGUAGCGGUGAAAUGCGCAGAUAUCAGGAGGAACACCAAUUGCGAAGGCAGCUCGCUGGGACGUUACUGACGCUGAGACGCGAAAGCGUGGGGAGCAAACAGG
This 254-nucleotide ribosomal RNA is filed under the name uncultured bacterium. Its description in RNAcentral is "partial 16S ribosomal RNA". It matches the Rfam family "Bacterial small subunit ribosomal RNA", at positions 524 to 776 of the family's 1533-position model. The record is from RNAcentral.